GUGCAGCAGCCGCGGUAAUACGGAGGGCGCAAGCGUUGCUCGGAAUCACUGGGCGUAAAGCGGACGCAGGCGGAACGUUAAGUUGGAUGUGAAAGCCCCGGGCUCAACCUGGGAACUGCAUUCAAAACUGGCGUUCUUGAGUUCAAGAGAGGGUGGUGGAAUUCCUGGUGUAGAGGUGAAAUUCGUUGAUAUCAGGAGGAACACCGGCGGCGAAGGCGGCCACCUGGCUUGAUACUGACGCUCAUGUCCGAAAGCGUGGGGAGCAAACAGGAUUAGAUA
RNAcentral lists this ribosomal RNA (279 nucleotides) under uncultured bacterium. RNAcentral describes it as "partial 16S ribosomal RNA". It matches the Rfam family "Bacterial small subunit ribosomal RNA", at positions 505 to 784 of the family's 1533-position model. The record is from RNAcentral.